ACUAUAACAUAAAAAGGAUGAAGUAGAUUGAACAAUAUUUUCUUCAAACCUGCUCAAAAGAUCCAAAAUGACCAGCAGAACAAUAAUAACUUUGAAAACCAACCAUCACAGGCAUUAGAGAAGGUAGCUGGUCCACAAAGGGAUGAAAUCAAUCUAAUUUGGUUUAGGUCGAAACAACAUAAACUGGACGAGACUACCCACAUCAUUCUUCAGAGACAUUCACUAGGGUCUAACCAUAAUUCUUCUUCAAAUAUAAGUACUUGGAUCAAAAUAACCAUUACAGGCAUUAGAGAAGGUAGCUGGUCCACAAAGGGAUGAAAUCAAUCUAAUUUGGUUUAGGUCGAACCAACAUAAACUGGAUGAGACUACCCACAUCAUUCUUCAGAGACAUUUACUAGUGUCUAACCAUAAUUCUUCUUCAAAUAUAAGUACUUGGAUCAAAAUACAAAAUGAAAAGUGAGCAUAAUUAUAACAGCAGGGAACACCAGCAUACAGAUGAAGAACCUUAC
RNAcentral lists this long non-coding RNA (509 nucleotides) under Ananas comosus (pineapple). RNAcentral's name for it is "long non-coding RNA (ACOM_LNC031661)". The record is from RNAcentral. Lineage: Eukaryota; Viridiplantae; Streptophyta; Magnoliopsida; Poales; Bromeliaceae.